AGUCAUAUGCUUGUCUCAAAGAUUAAGCCAUGCAUGUCUCAGUACAAGCCUAAUUAAGGUGAAACCGCGAAAGGCUCAUUAAAUCAGUUAUGGUUCCUUAGAUCGUACCCACAUUUACUUGGAUAACUGUGGUAAUUCUAGAGCUAAUACAUGCAAACAGAGCUCCGACCGGAGACGGAAGGAGCGCUUUUAUUAGAUCAAAACCAAUCGGCGGCGGGCUUGCUCGCCGUCGUACACCUUGGUGAAUCUGAAUAACUUUCUGCUGAUCGCAUGGUCUCGCACCGGCGACGCAUCUUUCAAAUGUCUGCCUUAUCAACUGUCGAUGGUAGGUUCUGCGCCUACCAUGGUUGUAACGGGUAACGGGGAAUCAGGGUUCGAUUCCGGAGAGGGAGCCUGAGAAACGGCUACCACAUCCAAGGAAGGCAGCAGGCGCGCAAAUUACCCACUCCCGGCACGGGGAGGUAGUGACGAAAAAUAACGAUACGGGACUCAUCCGAGGCCCCGUAAUCGGAAUGAGUACACUCUAAACCCUUUAACGAGGAUCAAUUGGAGGGCAAGUCUGGUGCCAGCAGCCGCGGUAAUUCCAGCUCCAAUAGCGUAU
This 601-nucleotide ribosomal RNA is filed under the name Oulimnius tuberculatus. RNAcentral's name for it is "SSU rRNA". It matches the Rfam family "Eukaryotic small subunit ribosomal RNA", at positions 22 to 602 of the family's 1831-position model. The record is from RNAcentral. RNAcentral also lists the same sequence under 3 other names. Lineage: Eukaryota; Metazoa; Arthropoda; Insecta; Coleoptera; Elmidae.